RNAcentral lists this ribosomal RNA (468 nucleotides) under uncultured bacterium. Its description in RNAcentral is "partial 16S ribosomal RNA". It matches the Rfam family "Bacterial small subunit ribosomal RNA", at positions 28 to 507 of the family's 1533-position model. The record is from RNAcentral.
GACGAACGCUGGCGGCGUGCUUAACACAUGCAAGUCGAACGGAAAGGCCCUGCUUUUGUGGGGUGCUCGAGUGGCGAACGGGUGAGUAACACGUGAGUAACCUGCCCUUGACUUUGGGAUAACUUCAGGAAACUGGGGCUAAUACCGGAUAGGAGCUCCUGCUGCAUGGUGGGGGUUGGAAAGUUUCGGCGGUUGGGGAUGGACUCGCGGCUUAUCCGCUUGUUGGUGGGGUAGGGGCUUACCAAGGCUUUGACGGGUAGCCGGCCUGGGAGGGUGACCGGCGACAUGGGGACUGAGAUAGGGCCCAGACUCCUACGGGAGGCAGCAGUGGGGAAUAUUGCACAAUGGGCGGAAGUCUGAUGCAGCAACGCCGCGUGCGGGAUGACGGCCUUCGGGUUGUAAACCGCUUUCGCCUGUGACGAAGCGUGAGUGACGGUAAUGGGUAAAGAAGCACCGGCUAACUACGUG